GGAUAACUUCGCGAAAGCGUAGCUAAUGCCGGAUAAUGUCCUGUUGACUUCGGUCUUCAGGAUGAAAGAUGACCUCUUCAUGAAAGUUGUCGUUCAGGGAGGGGCCCGCGUACCAUUAGCUUGUUGGUGGGGUAAUGGCCCACCAAGGCAACGAUGGUUAGCUGGUCUGAGAGGAUGAUCAGCCACACUGGAACUGAAACACGGUCCAGACUCCUACGGGAGGCAGCAGUGAGGAAUUUUGCGCAAUGGGGGAAACCCUGACGCAGCAACGCCGCGUGAGUGAGAAGGCUUUCGGGUCGUAAAGCUCUGUCAAGUGGGAAAAAAAGCUCUCGAUUAAUAGUCGGGAGACCUGAUGCUACCACUGGAGGAAGCACCGGCUAACUCCGUGCCAGCAGCCGCGGUAAUACGGAGGGUGCAAGCGUUGUUCGGAAUUACUGGGCGUAAAGAGCGUGUAGGCGGUUUGGCAAGUCAGAUGUGAAAGCCCUGGGCUCAACCCAGGAAGUGCAUUUGAAACUGCCAUCCUUGAGUAUGGGAGAGGAGAGUGGAAUUCCCAAUGUAGAGGUGAAAUUCGUAGAUAUUGGGAGGAACACCCGUGGCGAAGGCGACUCUCUGGACCAAUACUGACGCUGAGACGCGAAAGCGUGGGGAGCAAACAGGAUAGAUACCCUGGUAGUCCACGCCGUAAACGAUGAGAACUAGGUGUAGCGGGUAUUGACCCCUGCUGUGCCGAAGUUAACGCAUUAAGUUCUCCGCCUGGGGAGUACGGCCGCAAGGCUAAAACUCAAAGGAAUUGACGGGGGCCCGCACAAGCGGUGGAGCAUGUGGUUUAAUUCGACGCAACGCGAAGAACCUUACCUGGGUUUGACAUCCUUUGACCGUCUGGGAAACCAGAUUUUUCCGACUUUGUCGGAACAGAGUGACAGGUGCUGCAUGGCUGUCGUCAGCUCGUGUCGUGAGAUGUUGGGUUAAGUCCCGCAACGAGCGUAACCCUUGUCUUUAGUUGCCUUUAUUAAGUUAGGCACUCUAAAGAGACCGCCUCGGUUAACGGGGAGGAAGGUGGGGAUGACGUCAAGUCCUCAUGGCCUUUAUAUCCAGGGCUACACACGUGCUACAAUGGGCUGUACAAAGGGUUGCUAGUCUGCGAAGAGGAGCUAAUCCCAAAAAGCAGCUCUCAGUUCGGAUUGGAGUCUGCAACUCGACUCCAUGAAGUUGGAAUCGCUAGUAAUCGUGGAUCAGCAUGCCACGGUGAAUACGUUCCCGGGCCUUGUACACACCGCCCGUCACACCACGAAAGUCGGCUGUACCAGAAGUUGCUGGGCUAACCCCCUUGGGGGAGGUAGGUACCUAAGGUACGGUCGGUAAUUG
Molecule: ribosomal RNA, 1365 nt
Filed under: metagenome
Description: bacterial SSU rRNA
Rfam family: Bacterial small subunit ribosomal RNA
Source: RNAcentral